CCUACGGGGUGCAGCAGUGGGGAAUAUUGGACAAUGGGCGAAAGCCUGAUCCAGCCAUGCCGCGUGUGUGAAGAAGGCCUUCGGGUUGUAAAGCACUUUCAGUGGGGAAGAAAGCCUUGGGGCUAAUACCCUCGAGGAAGGACAUCACCCACAGAAGAAGCACCGGCUAACUCCGUGCCAGCAGCCGCGGUAAUACGGAGGGUGCGAGCGUUAAUCGGAAUUACUGGGCGUAAAGCGCGCGUAGGCGGUCUGAUAAGCCGGUUGUGAAAGCCCCGGGCUCAACCUGGGAACGGCAUCCGGAACUGUCAGGCUAGAGUGCAGGAGAGGAAGGUAGAAUUCCCGGUGUAGCGGUGAAAUGCGUAGAGAUCGGGAGGAAUACCAGUGGCGAAGGCGGUCUUCUGGACUGACACUGACGCUGAGGUGCGAAAGCGUGGGUAGCAAACAGGAUUAGAUACCCGAGUAGUC
This 465-nucleotide ribosomal RNA is filed under the name Vreelandella stevensii. RNAcentral's name for it is "partial 16S ribosomal RNA". It matches the Rfam family "Bacterial small subunit ribosomal RNA", at positions 338 to 795 of the family's 1533-position model. The record is from RNAcentral. Lineage: Bacteria; Pseudomonadati; Pseudomonadota; Gammaproteobacteria; Oceanospirillales; Halomonadaceae.